RNAcentral lists this long non-coding RNA (1201 nucleotides) under Numida meleagris (helmeted guineafowl). Its description in RNAcentral is "lncRNA (ENSNMEG00000019008.1)". The record is from RNAcentral. Lineage: Eukaryota; Metazoa; Chordata; Aves; Galliformes; Numididae.
GUUCUUUGUGGGUAUGAAGGGUUACAGUCCUUUUACUGACCUGUCCUGCUUCUGAGGAUAACCAAGCUGCCAGCAGCACUGCACAGAGGGGUAUUUAUGUUCUCCCAUGGCAACACAGAUGUGCUGGUCACGAAACACCUACAGAUGACAUCCUGAAACUGCUAGCCUUGAAAAUGGCUGUGAACUCCAUAUCGUGAUGAUUUUCAGCGCUGUUUUCCAGAACAUUCAAUGAUGCACCCAAGUGACCCAACAUUGGAAAAACUAUGUAGGAGUGCACAUCCUGCAGAAAGCCAAGAUGGAUUUCAAGGCAGGCUGAAAGCAUCAUUUCUUCUGCACGGCGAAAGAGUUGGGUUCAUACUGCAAAGCAUUCUUCCUCAUUCAUCAUGUGCUGUCUUAGCUGCUGUCUCACAAAUCCAAUAUGGAUAUUAAUUGCAAAUCGCUGAGAGAGGCCUUUCAGGUCUUGGAGUGGUCUUGUGAUCUUCCAAUUUGCCCUCUUCUCUAGCCAGUUCUGAGAGAGGAAUUUUAGUUUUUCUUUUAAAUUUUUGGUGACUACUAAGUGUUUGCCUUAUCAUUUGAAAGAAAUGUGAAGAAGUACGUGUCUGAUGAAAUAUUUAGACUUUUAAUACUAGCAGCCCACAGAAUACCAUAAACCAUAAUUUAUAUCUGUUUACAGCACUUCUGCUGGAAGUAUCCUGCUAAUCUACCUAAUAUAUGUAAGAAAAUGCAGACCUGCUAAGAUUUUUUUAUUGUAACCAUCAGUCUUUUCUACAAUAUCAUGAAGUAACAAGGAAUGGACUUUCCUAGGAUCUUGAUGUCCUAUUUAUUAAAGACAGUGUCUCAUGUUAUCUGUUAGAGCCCCGUGUGCAGCACCAGGCGACCUUUUUCAAAGAGACUCAAGUGAAUGAUGUUGUUUUCCUAUAGGCUUUAAGCUCAAGAUUUUGUCACUUUUCCAUAUGAGGGUGUACUAAUUGGAUCCUAAUUAGGUCCUAUAUUGUGCAUCACUGAAUGAAACAUCUCGUGGCUGAUGCCCUCACAGAAGCUGUUGGGUUGAGCACAACUGGGUGGAUGGAGUUGCCUUGUGCUAGUGGAGGAGCAGUAUUCACCAGACUGUUUUUCCUUCAGACCUUAUGCCCAAGGGUGCACGUCUCAGAGACGAGCAUGGGGACUACAUUUACAAAUCUCCUUAGGGUUAAAUAUUCAA